RNAcentral lists this ribosomal RNA (253 nucleotides) under uncultured bacterium. RNAcentral's name for it is "partial 16S ribosomal RNA". It matches the Rfam family "Bacterial small subunit ribosomal RNA", at positions 524 to 776 of the family's 1533-position model. The record is from RNAcentral.
UACGUAGGGUGCAAGCGUUGUCCGGAAUUAUUGGGCGUAAAGAGCUCGUAGGCGGUUUGUCGCGUCUGCUGUGAAAACUCGGGGCUUAACCCCGGGCCUGCAGUGGGUACGGGCAGACUAGAGUUCGGUAGGGGAGUCUGGAAUUCCUGGUGUAGCGGUGAAAUGCGCAGAUAUCAGGAGGAACACCGGUGGCGAAGGCGGGACUCUGGGCCGAUACUGACGCUGAGGAGCGAAAGCGUGGGGAGCGAACAGG